This 1410-nucleotide ribosomal RNA is filed under the name uncultured bacterium. RNAcentral describes it as "bacterial SSU rRNA". It matches the Rfam family "Bacterial small subunit ribosomal RNA". The record is from RNAcentral.
AGCGGCGGACGGGUGAGUAACACGUGGGUAUCCUACCUAUAAGACUGGGAUAACUCCGGGAAAACCGGGGCUAAUACCGGAUAACAUAUUGAACCGCAUGGUUCAAUGUUGAAAGACGGUUUCGGCUGUCACUUAUAGAUGGACCCGCGCCGUAUUAGCUAGUUGGUAAGGUAACGGCUUACCAAGGCAACGAUACGUAGCCGACCUGAGAGGGUGAUCGGCCACACUGGAACUGAGACACGGUCCAGACUCCUACGGGAGGCAGCAGUAGGGAAUCUUCCGCAAUGGGCGAAAGCCUGACGGAGCAACGCCGCGUGAGUGAUGAAGGUCUUAGGAUCGUAAAACUCUGUUGUUAGGGAAGAACAAAUUUGUUAGUAACUGAACAAGUCUUGACGGUACCUAACCAGAAAGCCACGGCUAACUACGUGCCAGCAGCCGCGGUAAUACGUAGGUGGCAAGCGUUAUCCGGAAUUAUUGGGCGUAAAGCGCGCGUAGGCGGUUUCUUAAGUCUGAUGUGAAAGCCCACGGCUCAACCGUGGAGGGUCAUUGGAAACUGGGGAACUUGAGUGCAGAAGAGGAGAGUGGAAUUCCAUGUGUAGCGGUGAAAUGCGCAGAGAUAUGGAGGAAGACCAGUGGCGAAGGCGGCUCUCUGGUCUGUAACUGACGCUGAUGUGCGAAAGCGUGGGGAUCAAACAGGAUUAGAUACCCUGGUAGUCCACGCCGUAAACGAUCACUUAUAAGGGUUAGGGGGGUUUCCGCCCCUUAGUGCUGCAGCUAACGCAUUAAGCACUCCGCCUGGGGAGUACGACCGCAAGGUUGAAACUCAAAGGAAUUGACGGGGACCCGCACAAGCGGUGGAGCAUGUGGUUUAAUUCGAAGCAACGCGAAGAACCUUACCAAAUCUUGACAUCCUUUGAUCGCUCUAGAGAUAGAGUUUUCCCCUUCGGGGGACAAAGUGACAGGUGGUGCAUGGUUGUCGUCAGCUCAUGUCGUGAGAUGUUGGGUUAAGUCCCGCAACGAGCGCAACCCUUAAGCUUAGUUGCCAUCAUUAAGUUGGGCACUCUAGGUUGACUGCCGGUGACAAACCGGAGGAAGGUGGGGAUGACGUCAAAUCAUCAUGCCCCUUAUGAUUUGGGCUACACACGUGCUACAAUGGAUAAUACAAAGGGCAGCGAACCCGCGAGGUCAAGCAAAUCCCAUAAAAUUAUUCUCAGUUCGGAUUGUAGUCUGCAACUCGACUACAUGAAGCUGGAAUCGCUAGUAAUCGUAGAUCAGCAUGCUACGGUGAAUACGUUCCCGGGUCUUGUACACACCGCCCGUCACACCACGAGAGUUUGUAACACCCGAAGCCGGUGGAGUAACCUUUUAUUAGGAGAUAGCCGUCGAAGGUGGGACAGAUGAUUGGGGUGA